Molecule: ribosomal RNA, 465 nt
Filed under: uncultured bacterium
Lineage: Bacteria
Description: partial 16S ribosomal RNA
Rfam family: Bacterial small subunit ribosomal RNA
Source: RNAcentral
GACGAACGCUGGCGGCGUGCUUAACACAUGCAAGUCGAACGGAAAGGCCCCUUUGGGGGUACUCGAGUGGCGAACGGGUGAGUAACACGUGAGUAACCUGCCCUUGACUUCGGGAUAACUUCAGGAAACUGGGGCUAAUACCGGAUAGGAAUCCUUGCUGCAUGGUGGGGGUUGGAAAGCUUCGGCGGUUUUGGAUGGACUCGCGGCUUAUCAGCUUGUUGGUGGGGUAGUGGCUUACCAAGGCUUUGACGGGUAGCCGGCCUGAGAGGGCGACCGGCCACAUUGGGACUGAGAUACGGCCCAGACGCCUACGGGAGGCAGCAGUGGGGAAGAUUGCACAAGGGGCGGAAGCCUGAUGCAGCAACGCCGCGUGCGGGAUGACGGCCUUCGGGUUGGAAACCGCUUUCAGCAGGGGCGAAGCUUGUGGUGACGGUACCUGCAGAAGAAGCACCGGCUAACUACGUG